CCUUCCCUUUCCGACGACUCCGCUCGAGGCCGCUUAUAUGUCGACCGGAGAGCGAGUCCUUAUAUGCGCUUGCCGAUGGUUCGAUGCGAUGACUUACUCCAUCGGAACUUAUAGCUUCACUGGAAUCCAUAUGAGCCCUUCUGUUUUCGUUAUUCCCAUUUAACUACUACUCUUCGUAGGUUUUCCCACCAAACGAGUGUGUAUAUAUAUACACACACACGUGUGUGUGUGUGUGUGUGUGUGUGUGUGAAAUUAUAAUUUUAAUUGGACGAAUUCACCCAAAAAUAACCCAUAAUAAUAAAAAACAUCAGUUAACCAUACAAUUAAAAAGGACAAUUAAGAUUUAUUUUUUUUUGAACUUUAAGUUAUAUUUUUAUUUCUUUGAAAUCUGUGUUCUCUGCGGGCACGAAAAGGAAACGUGCGAGAGAGAAGGUGAUAGCUCGUACCAGAUCAUGUCUUGUCGUGUGCUAAGGCGAGGCUCAUCAUCAUCCAUCCAUUCGCCGACCUCAACACCAAUUCGUGGCCCCAAAUCGCGUGCAUUAACCUCUAUUUAGCUCAUCGCACCGAGCUCCUGCAAAGGCAGAGAGGACAGGGAGAGUGAGCGAGAGACGAUGGCGUCGAUCACGGGGAUGUUGGCGUACGCCGUUCCCAUGUCGUGUACCAGCAGCAGCUGCAGACCCAGGGCUUCGUCUCCCGCGUCGCCGGGCGGCGGCGGGGGAUGGAUGGGAGUGGUGUGCUCGUCGCGGCCGCAGAAGAAGGCGACGGCGCACCACAUGAAGACGAGGCCUAAGAAGACGCAGCCUUGGGACGUCAGGCGAAAGGGCCCGACCGCGUACCCGCCUCUCCCCGUCCUCCCUCCGGAUUGGACCCUCGUCCCCGAGCAGGAGCAGGCGGCGGCGAAGGAGUGGCGCUAAAUCGGGAGCAAGAAAACUAGGGGAAAUUUCAACUUCCCGAAAGAUAUCAUCGUCUCCGGCACCAAACACCAAAAUCCGAGGACACGAGGGAGAAACCAAACAAGAAAACCUCGAAUGCAUCCAUCACCUUUAUCGGGCGGAAACGAGGCCGGAGAAGUCAUCUGUCGCUUGAAUCGGUGAUCAGCCAGCCACAGGGGUUACAAAAAGGCAUUCAGACAACAAAUUUAUUGGUCAUCACAAAGCCACUGCCAUAGUGUUGGGAAAUUGGGAUUACAUGGAUCAUCAUGUUACCAUUGAAUGGAACAACCAUCAGCCAUCACAUGAACAAGCAAAGAAGAAAUGGAGGGGUGGAAUGCGUUUGAUAAACAAACCAGCAUGCAGUGACAUCAGUGAUCAGCACUUUUUUUGUCUGCGUAAUGCAACCAUCCAGAUUCAUAAUCCGGUCAUCAGAGACUCUUUUAGAUUGUGAA
Musa acuminata AAA Group (dessert banana) is the source of this 1384-nucleotide long non-coding RNA. RefSeq lists it as uncharacterized. The transcript has 2 exons. Lineage: Eukaryota; Viridiplantae; Streptophyta; Magnoliopsida; Zingiberales; Musaceae. The record is from RefSeq and is a predicted model, not a curated record.